ACGCACGCUGGCGGCGUGCUUAACACCUGCAAGUCGCACGGAAAGGCCCUGCUUUUGUGGGGUGCUCGAGUGGCGAACGGGUGAGUAACACGUGAGUAACCUGCCCUUGACUUUGGGAUAACUUCAGGAAACUGGGGCUAAUACCGGAUAGGAGCUCCUGCUGCAUGGUGGGGGUUGGAAAGUUUCGGCGGUUGGGGAUGGACUCGCGGCUUAUCAGCUUGUUGGUGGGGUAGUGGCUUACCAAGGCUUUGACGGGUAGCCGGCCUGAGAGGGUGACCGGCCACAUUGGGACUGAGAGACGGCCCAGACUCCUACGGGAGGCAGCAGUGGGGAAUAUUGCACAAUGGGCGGAAGCCUGAUGCAGCAACGCCGCGUGCGGGAUGACGGCCUUCGGGUUGUAAACCGCUUUCGCCUGUGACGAAGCGUGAGUGACGGUAAUGGGUAAAGAAGCACCGGCUAACUACGUG
This 467-nucleotide ribosomal RNA is filed under the name uncultured bacterium. RNAcentral's name for it is "partial 16S ribosomal RNA". It matches the Rfam family "Bacterial small subunit ribosomal RNA", at positions 29 to 507 of the family's 1533-position model. The record is from RNAcentral.